This is a long non-coding RNA of Passer domesticus (house sparrow), 4353 nucleotides long. RefSeq lists it as uncharacterized. The transcript is spliced from 6 exons. The record is from RefSeq and is a predicted model, not a curated record. NCBI's taxonomy places the organism in Eukaryota, Metazoa, Chordata, Aves, Passeriformes, Passeridae.
GGGAGCGCUGGGGGCGGCGUGUGGGGGGGUGCGGGCGGUGCGGCUUUACACCGGUGGGUUUUGGUAUUAGCUUGAAAAGGAAAUUGAAAAUAUUUUGCCGGUGUUUUCAAGGUUUGAAGUUUCAUUCAAGUUUUAGCACAGAAACCCUUUUUGUUCUCUCAAAGAGCAGAAGUGUUUUCUUAGAACAGCAGUGAACUUGCAGAAGAAAAGAAUGGAUGACAAUACAUUAGUCUGUUCUAGCCCUAUUUUCAGUGACUUGACAGCAUUUCACAUCUUCUCUGCUCCUUAGCCCUUCUUCCGUAAAGCCUCUGCUCUUUUUUCUUCCUCAUCUCCCCUUUCUUGUGUGGAGUAAAGCUGGCAUGGAACACAGUCUUAUUCCAGGUUAUGGAGUGAAGUCAGUGACCACUAUUGUAGUCAUUCCUCUCAGAACAAAAGGGAAGCAAGAUGGAAAAGAGAAGCAAGGGCAGACAAUGGCAAUCAGGAGGAGCUGCAGGAAUUCUUGAAGCUCAGGCUGUUCCACACCAAGACCAUGGAAACACGAGUUGGACAAAAACAACUGAGGAGCACUUUUGGAGAGUGGUCAGGACAGAAAAAAAUUACUAGAAAGAGGAGGAAUAAAACUGUAGAUCUAAGCCUGCUAUCAAAGGAAUAAAAGGGUGGAGGCACAUCCUUAGAACAGCUCAUCCUUGUUUCCUGAGAGAUAACAUCUUACAUAUUGUUAUGUUGGAGGAUAGGUCACUACUCCAGGACUGGAUCUUGUCAUUCACUUACCUAUAUGAAGCUGAAAGGUGUGACAAAACUUCUAUUCAUAAUGCAUACCAAAGCAAUUAAAUACUCAUGUGUCUAACAGGUGUAAUAGUGAAAACCAGCAAAUGUCUAAGUGAGAAAAAGAGAUGGGACUUGUAGCCUGAGAGAUGUGCUUUGACAAUGAUAUUCAAGCAGCCACUGAGCAAGGAUGGAGGAGAUUAAAUGCAAUUAGUGAUAAGCAGACAAGGAAAAAAACAAGAAUCAAAUUACAAAUUGGUAAUUUGUAUUACCAAUUUGCGUUGGUAAUACAAAAAAAAAAAAGGGAAGUAGGGGGAAAGAAAACCCUAACCCUGGCAGAAUAGACAUAAGAAAAAAGAAGACAUUCUGGAUAUAGAAAAAUCUGGAAAGAAGUUUGGAAUUAAGAACAAAAAACCUGCCCCAGUAAAUAAAGAGGGCUGAUGCAAAGAAACACUGCCUCAGAAAAUAGUAGUUUCUCCUAGUGGAAACAGACAAAACAUGAGUUAAGCACUUGGAUCCUGACUUAUAAGAGAACACUAGAGCAGAGUUCCAAAGGGUUUCCUUCAUCUACUGAAUUCCCUUCCCAAGCCACGGUGCUGUUCCCACGGUCUCUGUUUCUGCAGCAAGCACGACCAGGAGAUGGCAGCCUUGGAUUCAGCAACACAAGCGCAAACCCAACAACAGCCAACUGCGGACUUGGAACUCAGAAAAAUCCUUCUGAAAGAAUUAAUUUCCGUGAGUUGCUCAGCAAAACUGGCAGAUGUUUCAGGCUGACACACUGCAUUUCUGCGGGACAUUCAUUCAUGCCCAUUUGUCUACAAUAUUAAGGCAAAAUUUUACUACCCAAUGGGGAGAGCUGUAACUCCACUACAUGUAGGAACUGCCAUUUACAUCCUUGGGAGCACCCUGCCUCAAUCCUGCAUAGGUUGGAGAACUUUACCUUCUAUAGACAGGUUUAACAGUGAGAGAAAAACACCUUCCUGAGACUGUUCUGUUACAUUCAGUGAAAUUGUCUCAUAAAUAUAAAAGCAUCCUUUUAUGUUUAACAUAUGUUUUCCUGUGCAAAGUUUAAGAUUUGUUUUUUAUUUAGAGCUGUAACUUAAAGUUCAGGAUUCUUCUUAUCAGUUCUACAGUGCCUCCAUAUAACAGGGCAAAAAUAUCAAGGACCACGUGUUAUCUAUUUAUUACAAUUUCAGGUAUAAAGGGACCAUAAAUAAUAACAGCUUUUUGCUGUAACACAUUGCAUCAUUGUCAAGAUUAAAUGUUUUGCAGACAUUUUUUUCUUCUUGAAAGAAGAAAAAUAUAUAUAUUAUAUACUGUAUUUAUAUUUAUAUACUGUAAAUUUAUAUCCUUUAAUUUACAAAUUAAUAAUUGAAGCAAAAGAUUAAGUCAGAAAUAGCCUGUCAUUUAGGACAUCUCACUUGCAAUCUCAAGGAUCAGAUUUUUCAUGUUAGAAACUUCAGAUCCAUUGUGCAAGCAACUACUGUUUGAGUUGAUGGAGUAACUAAUAGCAGGACAUAGCUUUAUAUCUGCACAGGACAUGAUUUCACCAGAUUUCAUGGUCCUCUAUUUGACAGAGUUUAGACAUUUGGUUUGUGUUUCAUUUGGACCAUGAAAGAGAAUUACAAGCAAUUUUUCUAUCUAUUAGACUAAAACAGAAUUUCAAUUGCUAAAAUAUUAAUACAAAAAAAAGUGAGGUUGCUAAUUAGAGGAGAUUGAGCAACAUAAUUUCUUUUUUAUGGCACAGUUAAAUUCAACUAGCUCCAUUUUCUAACCUUCAAAUCAGGUGAAAAGAAGUUAUGCGCAGAGGGCCUCUUCAAAAAUUUCAUGAGCAACUAAUUAUUCUUUUAACCAAUGUACUAAUUUAACUUACAUUUAACUUAUUGUUGUCAGUUGUCCCUAGCAGUUCUAAAAAAUAUACUUUUUUUCAGUAAUUGUUGUAGCAGAGUGGUAGUCAGGGAAAAAAAAAUCUAGAGAUACCUGCUUCAACAAGAAUUAAUAGGUUGGUAGAAUAUUAUCACAAUAUGAACAGGUUUGUUCAACUUGUGUGUAUACAUGUGUGUGUGUGUGCGCGCGCGCAUGUAUAUGUACACACUUCAUGGUUACAAAAGUACAUGACUAAAAUUUCUCUCUAAAAAUAAAUCACAUGGAGUUAUUUUUCAUGUAGACAACAUUUAGCAUUUGCAAAUUUCUGAUCUACUGUAUAAUUUUGAUAGCAAGGAACAUGGGGAAGAUUUUUUUAAACAAGUUGCUACUUGUAAAGUAAUUAUAAUUAUAGUCAUUGUUUUACUAAAUCUAUUUUAUUUUCCAGCUAAUGGCAUUUGUCAUGUUCAAAGACUUAAGAAAUAAUCUUGGACGUAAUAGAACAUUUUGAAAAUAGUAAGACAUACCUUGUUUAGCUUUACAAAGUACUCCAGCCCAGCUUCCAAUGGGUUAGUGUCACAGUUCAUCUGUUAAAAGAUAUAAAUUCACCAUCCAUACAUUACGGACCAUCACAGCUUUUGGACUGGGCAUUAUUCAUUCUAUACAUCCUUCUAUUUACUCCUGUGCCAAAGUCUUUCACACUGCAUGCACAGCUUCUGUCUCAAUACACUGCAAGCUUCCAACAUAGGAUUCAUAUAAGGUAUCAAUUAACACACCUAAUGUGACAUACAGAUGUGUAAACCACUCAUCUGAGUUUCCAUAUGCAAGGUAAGCACUUUUCAGAAAGAAAUAUGAUUUUUCAUCAAAGCAGAAUGGAACCUCAAAAAACUGAGUAACUGAGGUAUGCACAGCAUUUGCAACACAGCAGAGUGGCUUAGCCAGAGAAGGAAAUAAAACACAAAGCCGAUUUCAGUCACCACCUUCCCAUUCAGUGUAGGGGGAAUAAUUUCUUAAGAAGCACUUGAAGACAGAAUGAAAAUAACUAUCACAGGGCAAGCCAAAAGGACCCCUAAAUUCCCACAGUUUCAACCUCUUGAGUUCUUUCAUUUCCAAAGGAAAAAUGUAAGGUGAAAUGAAAUUAUACUGAUUUACCCCAAAUUCUCUAGGCCCUUGGCGUAGUUCUUUAUUAUGAGUUCUGCAGGAACAAGGUAAUGGGAAACAAAAAAGUUCCAAAUACAUUAUGAAGCAAAAAAAAUUUGCCUUUCAUAGUUGUUAGAGAAAUAAAACAUUUUGAGUACCUCUCAGCCAAACCUUUGAUUCUAAAACAUGAGAGCUCAGCAAAACCCUCAUAAUUUUGUUAUACAUAAGAGGAAAACCAUCCAUGAAUCAAAAUGAGUGUUUCUUUGCCAGCAGUGCAAUGGAGUAUACCACUUGUUUUUAUUUAGAAAAUCACCAGUAAGAAAGCAGCUUUUCCUGCUUGAGGAAAAUUUUCUUUUCAUGGUGAAUUAAGAAAAUUAAACAAAUAACAGCUGCACUAACUCUGACUAAAAACUGCAUAGUCAUAACAAAAUUAAAAAAUAAAAUUAAAAAACCCCACCAACACAACACCUCUCACCCCACAAAAAAAGCCAAAAAACAAAAACCAAAAAAAACCCCAACAAACCAAACCAAACAAACAAACAAAAAAAACCUCCAAAAAACCAAAGAAAAACAAAAAAAAAACAA